AGAGCGAACGCUGGCGGCAGGCCUAACACAUGCAAGUCGAGCGCCCCGCAAGGGGAGCGGCAGACGGGAGAGUAACACGUGGGAACGUACCCUUCAGUUCGGAACAACCCAGGGAAACUUGGGCUAAUACCGAAUACGUCCGUAAGGAGAAAGAUUUAUCGCUGAAGGAUCGGCCCGCGUCUGAUUAGCUUGUUGGUGAGGUAAUGGCUCACCAAGGCUACGAUCAGUAGCUGGUCUGAGAGGAUGAUCAGCCUCACUGGGACUGAGACACGGCCCAGACUCCUACGGGAGGCAGCAGUGGGGAAUAUUGGACAAUGGGCGCAAGCCUGAUCCAGCCAUGCCGCGUGGGUGAUGAAGGCCCUAGGGUUGUAAAGCCCUUUCGGCGGGGAAGAUAAUGACGGUACCCGCAGAAGAAGCCCCGGCUAACUUCGCGCCAGCAGCCGC
RNAcentral lists this ribosomal RNA (444 nucleotides) under uncultured bacterium. RNAcentral's name for it is "SSU rRNA". It matches the Rfam family "Bacterial small subunit ribosomal RNA", at positions 26 to 518 of the family's 1533-position model. The record is from RNAcentral.